This 270-nucleotide signal recognition particle RNA is filed under the name Staphylococcus succinus. Its description in RNAcentral is "signal recognition particle sRNA large type". It matches the Rfam family "Bacterial large signal recognition particle RNA". From Rfam's summary of the family: The signal recognition particle (SRP) is a universally conserved ribonucleoprotein involved in the co-translational targeting of proteins to membranes. Archaeal SRP consists of a 7S RNA and homologues of the eukaryotic SRP19 and SRP54 proteins. In most bacteria, the SRP consists of a 4.5S RNA and the Ffh protein (a homologue of the eukaryotic SRP54 protein). The record is from RNAcentral. Lineage: Bacteria; Bacillati; Bacillota; Bacilli; Caryophanales; Staphylococcaceae.
CCGUGCUAGGUGGGGAGGUAGCGGUUCCCUGUAUUCGAAAUCCGCUUUACGCGAGACUGAAUUCCUUUGCUAAGGGUGCGUUUUUGUGAAGUCUGCCCAAAGCACGUAGUGUUUGAAGAUUUCGGUCCUAUGCAAUAUGAACCCACGAAUCAUGUCAGGUCCUGACGGAAGCAGCAUUAAGUGGAUCAUCGUAUGUGCCGUAGGGUUGCUGAGGUUUAGCUGUCGACUUUGGUUACGUUUAUGAUACGCAUUCGAAGCGAAGGUGCACGG